AAUGUUUGUGCAUCUUUUGAAUUAAUCCAUUCGUAUUCACUCAUUUUUCAUUCAUGUUUAAAACAAAAAUACUCCUCUCAUUCACUUUUAUUUAUCAAACCAUUGUGUUAACAAAGAUUGGAAGGAGGAUGAUGAAAACGAAACACCUAAAAUUGUUGUGGUAUACUUUUGAGUAAAACCUUGUCGAUGAUGUAAGGCAUUGUUU
RNAcentral lists this long non-coding RNA (205 nucleotides) under Lathyrus oleraceus (garden pea). RNAcentral describes it as "Pisum sativum (pea) long non-coding RNA (PSAT_LNC011421)". Lineage: Eukaryota; Viridiplantae; Streptophyta; Magnoliopsida; Fabales; Fabaceae. The record is from RNAcentral.